GAUGGGUCAGACCCCUCUAGGCUAGGGGGGAGGACUUAAGAUCCUCUGGCGUAGGCCGUCGUGGGUUCAAGUCCCACCCCCGGCACCA
RNAcentral lists this transfer RNA (88 nucleotides) under Candidatus Bathyarchaeota archaeon. RNAcentral's name for it is "tRNA-Leu". The stretch from base 11 to 77 matches the Rfam family "tRNA", at positions 9 to 63 of the family's 71-position model. Rfam says of the family: Transfer RNA (tRNA) molecules are approximately 80 nucleotides in length. Lineage: Archaea; Thermoproteati; Candidatus Bathyarchaeota. The record is from RNAcentral.